This 421-nucleotide ribosomal RNA is filed under the name uncultured bacterium. Its description in RNAcentral is "bacterial SSU rRNA". It matches the Rfam family "Bacterial small subunit ribosomal RNA", at positions 355 to 774 of the family's 1533-position model. The record is from RNAcentral.
UAAGGAAUAUUGGUCAAUGGACGCAAGUCUGAACCAGCCAUGCCGCGUGAAGGAUGAAGGUCCUCUGGAUUGUAAACUUCUUUUAUCUGGGACGAAAACGGGAUUUUUAUCUCAAUUGACGGUACCAGAGGAAUAAGCACCGGCUAACUCCGUGCCAGCAGCCGCGGUAAUACGGAGGGUGCGAGCGUUAUCCGGAUUUACUGGGUUUAAAGGGUGCGUAGGUGGGCUUAUAAGUCAGUGGUGAAAUCCCCGAGCUUAACUUGGGAGCUGCCAUUGAUACUAUAUAUCUUGAAUACCGUAGAGGUAAGCGGAAUAUGUCAUGUAGCGGUGAAAUGCUUAGAUAUGACAUGGAACACCAAUUGCGAAGGCAGCUUACUAUGCGGUGAUUGACACUGAGGCACGAAAGCGUGGGUAGCAAACA